Molecule: ribosomal RNA, 1458 nt
Filed under: Klebsiella pneumoniae UCI 19
Lineage: Bacteria; Pseudomonadati; Pseudomonadota; Gammaproteobacteria; Enterobacterales; Enterobacteriaceae
Description: bacterial LSU rRNA
Rfam family: Bacterial large subunit ribosomal RNA
Source: RNAcentral
GGGCGACGGUUGUCCCGGUUUAAGCAUGUAGGCUGAUUGUCCAGGCAAAUCCGGAUAAUCAAGGCUGAGGUGUGAUGACGAGGCACUACGGUGCUGAAGUAACAAAUGCCCUGCUUCCAGGAAAAGCCUCUAAGCAUCAGGUAACAUUAAAUCGUACCCCAAACCGACACAGGUGGUCAGGUAGAGAAUACCAAGGCGCUUGAGAGAACUCGGGUGAAGGAACUAGGCAAAAUGGUGCCGUAACUUCGGGAGAAGGCACGCUGGUGUGUAGGUGAAGUCCCUGCGGAUGGAGCUGAGACCAGUCGAAGAUACCAGCUGGCUGCAACUGUUUAUUAAAAACACAGCACUGUGCAAACACGAAAGUGGACGUAUACGGUGUGACGCCUGCCCGGUGCCGGAAGGUUAAUUGAUGGGGUUAUCCGUAAGGAGAAGCUCUUGAUCGAAGCCCCGGUAAACGGCGGCCGUAACUAUAACGGUCCUAAGGUAGCGAAAUUCCUUGUCGGGUAAGUUCCGACCUGCACGAAUGGCGUAAUGAUGGCCAGGCUGUCUCCACCCGAGACUCAGUGAAAUUGAACUCGCUGUGAAGAUGCAGUGUACCCGCGGCAAGACGGAAAGACCCCGUGAACCUUUACUAUAGCUUGACACUGAACAUUGAGCCUUGAUGUGUAGGAUAGGUGGGAGGCUUUGAAGCGUGGACGCCAGUCUGCGUGGAGCCAACCUUGAAAUACCACCCUUUAAUGUUUGAUGUUCUAACGUUGGCCCCUGACCGGGGUUGCGGACAGUGUCUGGUGGGUAGUUUGACUGGGGCGGUCUCCUCCCAAAGCGUAACGGAGGAGCACGAAGGUUAGCUAAUCCUGGUCGGACAUCAGGAGGUUAGUGCAAUGGCAUAAGCUAGCUUGACUGCGAGCGUGACGGCGCGAGCAGGUGCGAAAGCAGGUCAUAGUGAUCCGGUGGUUCUGAAUGGAAGGGCCAUCGCUCAACGGAUAAAAGGUACUCCGGGGAUAACAGGCUGAUACCGCCCAAGAGUUCAUAUCGACGGCGGUGUUUGGCACCUCGAUGUCGGCUCAUCACAUCCUGGGGCUGAAGUAGGUCCCAAGGGUAUGGCUGUUCGCCAUUUAAAGUGGUACGCGAGCUGGGUUUAGAACGUCGUGAGACAGUUCGGUCCCUAUCUGCCGUGGGCGCUGGAGAAUUGAGGGGGGCUGCUCCUAGUACGAGAGGACCGGAGUGGACGCAUCACUGGUGUUCGGGUUGUCAUGCCAAUGGCACUGCCCGGUAGCUAAAUGCGGAAGAGAUAAGUGCUGAAAGCAUCUAAGCACGAAACUUGCCCCGAGAUGAGUUCUCCCUGAGACUUUAAGUCUCCUGAAGGAACGUUGAAGACGACGACGUUGAUAGGCCGGGUGUGUAAGCGCAGCGAUGCGUUGAGCUAACCGGUACUAAUGAACCGUGAGGCUUAACCUU